RNAcentral lists this ribosomal RNA (440 nucleotides) under uncultured bacterium. RNAcentral describes it as "partial 16S ribosomal RNA". It matches the Rfam family "Bacterial small subunit ribosomal RNA", at positions 338 to 795 of the family's 1533-position model. The record is from RNAcentral.
CCUACGGGGUGCAGCAGUAGGGAAUAUUGCUCAAUGGGGGAAACCCUGAAGCAGCAACGCCGCGUGGAGGAUGAAGGUUUUCGGAUUGUAAACUCCUUUUGUUAGAGAAGAUAAUGACGGUAUCUAACGAAUAAGCACCGGCUAACUCCGUGCCAGCAGCCGCGGUAAUACGGAGGGUGCAAGCGUUACUCGGAAUCACUGGGCGGAAAGAGCGCGUAGGCGGGAUAGCAAGUCAGAUGUGAAAUCCUAUGGCUAAACCAUAGAACUGCAUUUGAAACUGUUAUUCUAGAGUAUGGGAGAGGUAGGUGGAAUUCUUGGUGUAGGGGUAAAAUCCGUAGAGAUCAAGAGGAAUACUCAUUGCGAAGGCGACCUGCUAGAACAUAACUGACGCUGAUGCGCGAAAGCGUGGGGAGCAAACAGGAUUAGAUACCCCAGUAGUC